This 432-nucleotide ribosomal RNA is filed under the name uncultured bacterium. RNAcentral's name for it is "partial 16S ribosomal RNA". It matches the Rfam family "Bacterial small subunit ribosomal RNA", at positions 29 to 506 of the family's 1533-position model. The record is from RNAcentral.
AGCGAACGCUGGCGGCAGGCCUAACACAUGCCAGUCGAACGAACUCUUCGGAGUUAGUGGCGGACGGGUGAGUAACACGUGGGAACGUGCCUUUAGGUUCGGAAUAACUCAGGGAAACUUGUGCUAAUACCGAAUGUGCCCUUCGGGGGAAAGAUUUAUCGCCUUUAGAGCGGCCCGCGUCUGAUUAGCUAGUUGGUGAGGUAAAGGCUCACCAAGGCGACGAUCAGUAGCUGGUCUGAGAGGAUGAUCAGCCACAUUGGGACUGAGACACGGCCCAAACUCCUACGGGAGGCAGCAGUGGGGAAUCUGGCGCAAUGGGCGAAAGCCUGACGCAGCCAUGCCGCGUGAAUGAUGAAGGUCUUAGGAUUGUAAAAUUCUUUCACCGGGGACGAUAAUGACGGUACCCGGAGAAGAAGCCCCGGCUAACUUCGU